AUUGAACGCUGGCGGCAGGCCUAACACAUGCAAGUCGAGCGGAUGAAGGGAGCUUGCUCCUGGAUUCAGCGGCGGACGGGUGAGUAAUGCCUAGGAAUCUGCCUGGUAGUGGGGGAUAACGUCCGGAAACGGGCGCUAAUACCGCAUACGUCCUGAGGGAGAAAGUGGGGGAUCUUCGGACCUCACGCUAUCAGAUGAGCCUAGGUCGGAUUAGCUAGCUGGUGGGGUAAAGGCCUACCAAGGCGACGAUCCGUAACUGGUCUGAGAGGAUGAUCAGUCACACGGAAACAGAGACCGGGCCAGACCCCCAGGGGAGGGAGGCGGGGGGAAUAUUUGAAAAAGGGGGAAAGGCGUGAACCACCAUGGCGGGGGGGGGAAAGAAGGUUUGGGAUUUGAAAGCAAUUUUAAGUGGGGAGAAGGGAAAAAAAGUAAACACUUUGGUGUUUGAAGUUAACAAAAAAAAAAGACCCGGACAAACUUGGUC
RNAcentral lists this ribosomal RNA (484 nucleotides) under uncultured bacterium. RNAcentral's name for it is "partial 16S ribosomal RNA". It matches the Rfam family "Bacterial small subunit ribosomal RNA", at positions 29 to 508 of the family's 1533-position model. The record is from RNAcentral.